CUGCGCACUCAAAUGGCAGAUGAAAUAUAGUGUACAUAAUGUGAAGUUAUGCACUUCGGGGUCAAGAAUGCACAAGCAACUUACACACUAAAUGGUAGGGAAUUAGGGAUAACCACACACUAGAAGGAUUUGGGAAUUUUUAUAGACGACAAAUUAGGCAGCAAUAUGCAAUGUCAGUCUGCAGUUGAUAAGCAAUAGUAGACAAUUUACCAUUUGCAAUAGUAGACAACCCAAGGUAUUGCAAAUGGGGUAUGUCCAGUCUUUUUUAGUAGCCACUUAGUCACAAAAUU
This is a non-coding RNA of Pelobates cultripes (western spadefoot toad), 290 nucleotides long. The record is from the annotation of a GenBank genome assembly. NCBI's taxonomy places the organism in Eukaryota, Metazoa, Chordata, Amphibia, Anura, Pelobatidae.